GGACACAGAAACUGGAGAAAGUAUUGAGGAAAAGAGUCACUUAGAAAAUGAAGAGAGCAAAGAAACUGGAGAAAUUAGUGAGGAAAAGAGUCAUUUAGAAAAUGAAGAAAGCAAAGAAACUGGAGAAAGUAGUGAGGAAAAGAGUCAUUUAGAAAAUGAAGAGAGCAAAGAAACUGGAGAAAGUAGUGAGGAAAAGAGUCAUCUAGAGAAUGAAGAGAACAAAGAUGAAGAAAAGAGUAAGCAAGAAAAUGAAGAGAUUAAAGAUGGAGAAAAGAUUCAGCAAGAGAAUGAAGAGAACAAAGAUGAAGAAAAGAGUCAGCAAGAGAAUGAAGAGAACAAAGAUGAAGAAAAGAGUCAGCAAGAGAAUGAAUUGAAGAAAAAUGAAGGGGGAGAGAAAGAAAC
This 402-nucleotide long non-coding RNA is filed under the name Medicago truncatula (barrel medic). RNAcentral's name for it is "long non-coding RNA (MTRU_LNC002297)". Lineage: Eukaryota; Viridiplantae; Streptophyta; Magnoliopsida; Fabales; Fabaceae. The record is from RNAcentral.